Molecule: ribosomal RNA, 256 nt
Filed under: uncultured archaeon
Lineage: Archaea
Description: partial 16S ribosomal RNA
Rfam family: Bacterial small subunit ribosomal RNA
Source: RNAcentral
UAAUACGUAGGGUGCGAGCGUUAAUCGGAAUUACUGGGCGUAAAGCGUGCGCAGGCGGCUAUGCAAGACAGAUGUGAAAUCCCCGGGCUCAACCUGGGAACUGCAUUUGUGACUGCAUGGCUAGAGUGCGUCAGAGGGAGGUGGAAUUCCGCGUGUAGCAGUGAAAUGCGUAGAGAUGCGGAGGAACACCGAUGGCGAAGGCAGCCUCCUGGGAUGACACUGACGCUCAUGCACGAAAGCGUGGGGAGCAAACAGG